GUUAACACUUCAACCAACACCAUAAAGCAUAAAAAGGUGUCCGCAAGUUGGUUGUAUCUAUCUACAUAGUUUGAUGUAAGAAUAGAAUGUUCACUUUUGUGUUAUUUAGCGUAGGAGGGUCUCACUCCUUAUUUAGCUAAAGAAUAGGCUUUCAAAACGAGCAAUGAGCAUUGCAGGGGGCCAAUGCGACAUCAAGGAAAGGCCGGUGCACCUCAAUUGCUUGAGGAAUUGACCGGACGACCUCCAGGAAGUUGGAGUCGUGUUCGGGUGACCUCAAUGUCCCCCGGGUCACCACCAUGCUUCAUGGUGAUGCUAGAUCUCGAAUGUCUUCGUUUUGAGCGGAAGAAUGGAUGUCCAUGAGAUUUUCUUAAAAUUUGGACCAUUAUAUCUCUUCCAGGUUGACCAAUUUGGUCAAACCAAAGCCUAUAUGAGUCGGUGUCCCAAAUAUCAUGUAUGGCGACAACAUGGGAUUCGAUAUUCGAAUCGUAGUGACAUACAGCUCACUAGAUUGACUCAUGAAUUUCUCCAAGAUGCACUUCAGUUCGCAUUCAUGAGGAGGUAUACACAAAAGAAUUCUUGUUCAUUCUCAUAAUGUGUUUUCAAAUGAAAACCAUUAGCAGGAAUGUCUUUAAAACUUAACAUGGUUCCUUAGAAUGUUGUGGAUAGUUCCACUAUCUGCGAAGCACUCAAUGUCUCUAUGAGACAUAACUACAAGGAGUAGAUAGGCGAGUAAAUAGUUCUACUUGAACCAUUUAGAAGGAUUGAAAGAAGCUCGAAAAGCUGCAAUCCCGAGAGUGCAUAAAAAUUUCCGCGCAGAAUGACCUUUGCGCACUAAAACAGCCAUAACUUCUUCGUUAAAAUAGAUAUGGACGAACCGUGAAAAGUUCUGAAAACUAGACUCGUAGAGCUUUCCAAUGAUAUAAAGCUCACUGUCUGGUUCGUCCGGAGCUGUUCACAAAGCUCAAACGAAGUUGACUGUCCAGAAGGGACAGAUUGCUGUUUUUCGCAGAUUUGGCAUGUGCGAAGCUGUGAAGCUUGCAGG
RNAcentral lists this long non-coding RNA (1042 nucleotides) under Fragaria vesca (wild strawberry). RNAcentral's name for it is "long non-coding RNA (FVES_LNC004188)". The record is from RNAcentral. Lineage: Eukaryota; Viridiplantae; Streptophyta; Magnoliopsida; Rosales; Rosaceae.